CGAAGGGUGCAAGCGUUGUUCGGAAUUAUUGGGCGUAAAGCGCACGUAGGCGGCCUUGUAAGUCUCACUGUGAAAGUCCGGGGCUCAACCCCGGGAUGCCAGGGGAUACUGCGAGGCUGGAGACAAGCAGAGGUUGGUAGAAUUCCGGGUGUAGCGGUGGAAUGCGUAGAGAUCCGGAGGAAUACCAGAGGCGAAGGCGGCCAACUGGGCUUGUUCUGACGCUGAGGUGCGAAAGCGUGGGGAGCGAACAGGAUUAGAUACCCUGGUAGUCCACGCCGUAAACGAUGGACACUAGAUGCCGGCGGGAACGACCCCAUCGGUGUCGAAGCUAACGCAUUAAGUGUCCCGCCUGGGGAGUACGGCCGCAAGGCUG
RNAcentral lists this ribosomal RNA (373 nucleotides) under uncultured organism. RNAcentral describes it as "bacterial SSU rRNA". It matches the Rfam family "Bacterial small subunit ribosomal RNA", at positions 526 to 896 of the family's 1533-position model. The record is from RNAcentral.